AAAAAAAAAAAUAAUAAUAAAGAGUAACAUUUGAAAAAAGAAGAUAAAAAAAAGUAAAAUUUAGUAGGAAUUGAACUUGUAAAUUUGCUGAUUAUGAGUUGGGUGUUUUAGCCAUAGCAGGGAUCUUUAUGCAUGGUGAAUAACCAAAUUUCAAUUGAAAUAAAGUCUUUUACGUAAGUAGUCUAUUUUUGGCUUAAAUUGGC
Molecule: unclassified non-coding RNA, 203 nt
Filed under: Hevea brasiliensis (rubber tree)
Lineage: Eukaryota; Viridiplantae; Streptophyta; Magnoliopsida; Malpighiales; Euphorbiaceae
Source: RNAcentral